CCUCCUGGUGCAAGCGUUACUCGGAAUUACUGGGCGUAAAGGGUGCGUAGGUGGUUUUUUAAGUCUGCUGUGAAAUCCCCGGGCUCAACCUGGGAAUGGCGAUGGAUACUGGGCAGCUAGAGUGUGUCAGAGGAUGGUGGAAUUCCCGGUGUAGCGGUGAAAUGCGUAGAGAUCGGGAGGAACAUCAGUGGCGAAGGCGGCCAUCUGGGACAACACUGACGCUGAAGCACGAAAGCGUGGGGAGCAAACAGGA
RNAcentral lists this ribosomal RNA (253 nucleotides) under uncultured prokaryote. Its description in RNAcentral is "partial 16S ribosomal RNA". It matches the Rfam family "Bacterial small subunit ribosomal RNA", at positions 525 to 777 of the family's 1533-position model. The record is from RNAcentral.